GAUGAACGCUAGCUACAGGCUUAACACAUGCAAGUCGCGGGGCAGCAUGGGGGUUGCUUGCAAUCCCCGAUGGCGACCGGCGCACGGGUGAGUAACGCGUAUCCAACCUGCCCUUCACCACGGGAUAACCCGGCGAAAGUCGGACUAAUACCGUAUGUUGUCCAUUGACGGCAUCCGAUUUGGACGAAAGGUUUGGCGGUGAAGGAUGGGGAUGCGUCCGAUUAGCUGGACGGCGGGGUGACGGCCCACCGUGGCGACGAUCGGUAGGGGUUCUGAGAGGAAGGUCCCCCACACUGGAACUGAGACACGGUCCAGACUCCUACGGGAGGCAGCAGUGAGGAAUAUUGGUCAAGGGGCGUAAGCCUGAACCAGCCAAGUAGCGUGCAGGAUGACGGCCCUAUGGGUUGUAAACUGCUUUUAUGCGGGGAUAAAGUGGCCCACGUGUGGGUUUUUGCAGGUACCGCAUGAAUAAAGACCGGCUAAUUCCGU
Molecule: ribosomal RNA, 489 nt
Filed under: uncultured bacterium
Lineage: Bacteria
Description: partial 16S ribosomal RNA
Rfam family: Bacterial small subunit ribosomal RNA
Source: RNAcentral